UAUGGCACUGGAACUCUUCCACUCGUAUCUUUAUAAUGAGGCUUUCCACAAAAUUUGCAUGUAACCCGCUGUUCAUCCACCCUCCAAUAAAUCAUGCAGUUGUCGCUGCUUACAUCUAUUACCUGAUAUGAUAAACCAAGACCAGCUACGAGUUUCUGAACCUCGUAGUAUGAACCAGGAGCUACAUUAUCCUCGGGUAGAAUACCUUUUACAAAAUCAGCAAUCGCAUCCACACCGUCUUCAGCCAAAUUAUAAUCUGUUUUAAU
This 266-nucleotide long non-coding RNA is filed under the name Brassica napus (rape). RNAcentral describes it as "long non-coding RNA (BNAP_LNC011501)". Lineage: Eukaryota; Viridiplantae; Streptophyta; Magnoliopsida; Brassicales; Brassicaceae. The record is from RNAcentral.